UACGUAGGGUGCAAGCGUUAAUCGGAAUUACUGGGCGUAAAGCGUGCGCAGGCGGUUUUGCAAGACAGAUGUGAAAUCCCCGGGCUCAACCUGGGAACUGCAUUUGUGACUGCAAGGCUGGAGUGCGGCAGAGGGGGAUGGAAUUCCGCGUGUAGCAGUGAAAUGCGUAGAUAUGCGGAGGAACACCGAUGGCGAAGGCAAUCCCCUGGGCCUGCACUGACGCUCAUGCACGAAAGCGUGGGGAGCAAACAGG
This 253-nucleotide ribosomal RNA is filed under the name uncultured bacterium. Its description in RNAcentral is "partial 16S ribosomal RNA". It matches the Rfam family "Bacterial small subunit ribosomal RNA", at positions 524 to 776 of the family's 1533-position model. The record is from RNAcentral.